This 2005-nucleotide long non-coding RNA is filed under the name Brassica napus (rape). RNAcentral's name for it is "long non-coding RNA (BNAP_LNC021990)". Lineage: Eukaryota; Viridiplantae; Streptophyta; Magnoliopsida; Brassicales; Brassicaceae. The record is from RNAcentral.
GAAGCGGAGAAGGAGACACCGGGAGACACAGCGGCGGAGGAUGACGAGGAUGACGUGGUGACACCGUUGGUGCGUCGACAAAUUAAACGACCUCUCUUGAACGUGGUGACUGAUACGACGGAAAAAGUAAUCUCCACUGCUUCUUCCGGAAUCUGAUUAAUUUUACAGUCUUGUAAUCGGUUGUAUCUGAUGGUGUAGGACGCGCUCGUGUUGUUUGAAUCGGUUUUUUGGAUCUUUGUAGGAGAAGCUUUCUUGCUAAGCAGAGAGAAAACAAUCUGAUGUCAAAACCUACAACUUUUCAGCUUUUGGGGUUUAUAAUGUAAAAUUUGCGCCAUGGGUAUGUGAAAAAUAGAUUUUGAAAUUCUGGUUAAUUUGUGAAAAAUAGAUAUUGAAAUUCUCAUUAAUUAAUAAUCAAAUGGAGGGGAGGGUUUGUUAUAAAUUCAAACUUCUCUCUCCCCCCUCUCUCCACUCCCUCCUAACAAACACUAUCACCAACAAUCAUCCGAGAGAGAGAAAGAGAGAGAAAAUGGAGAGAAAAAUGUAAGCGAUCUUAGCAAGGUUGGAGAAAUUGGAGAGUCUACGUCGCAAAGACCAAAGAGCUGUGGCCAACCUUCUGGAGAAACUGCAAGAUGAAGAAGAGGAGGUAAAAACGGCCGAGAAUCAGUCGUCGAAGGUUACUCCACAGCCGAAUCUGUUUUAAAUUUACAGUCACUUAAUCUGUUGUAUCUGAUGGUGUAGGAUGCGCUCGUGUUGUUUGAAGCGGAGAAGGAGACACCGGGAGACACAGCGGCGGAGGAUGACGAGGAUGACGUGGUGACACCGUUGGUGCGUCGACAAAUUAAACGACCUCUCUUGAACGUGGUGACUGAUACGGCGGAAAAAGUAAUCUUCACUGCUUCUUCCGGAAUCUGAUUAAUUUUACAGUCUUGUAAUCGAUUGUAUCUGAUGGUGUAGGAUGCGCUCGUGUUGUUUGAAUCGGUUUUUUGGAUCUUUGUAGGAGAAGCUUUCUUGCUAAGCAGAGAGAAAACAAACUGAUGUCAAAACCUACAACUUUUCAGCUUUUGGGGUUUAUAAUGUAAAAUUUGCGCCAUGGGUAUAUGAAAAAUAAAUUUUGAAAUUCUGGUUAAUUUGUGAAAAAUAGAUAUUGAAAUUCUCGUUAAUUAAUAAUCAAAUGGAAGAGAGGGUUUGUUAAAAAUUCAAACUUCUCUCUCCCCCUUCUCUCCACUCCCCCUAACAAACACUAUCACCAACAAUCAUCCGAGAGAGAGAAAGAGAGAGAAAAUGGAGAGAAAAAUGGAAGCGAUCUUAGCAAGGUUGGAGAAAUUGGAGAGUCUACGUCGUAAAGACCAAAGAGCUGUGGCCAACCUUAUGGAGAAACUGCAAGAUGAAGAAGAGGAGGUAGAAACGGCCGAGAAUCAGUCGUCGAAGGUUACUCCACAGCCGAAUCUGUUUUAAAUUUACAGUCAGUUAAUCUGUUGUAUCUGAUGGUGUAGGAUGCGCUCGUGUUGUUUGAAGCGGAGAAGGAGACACCGGGAGACACGGCGGCGGAGGAUGACGAGGAUGACGUGGUGACACCGUUGGUGCGUCGACAAAUUAAACGACCUCUCUUGAACGUGGUGACUGAUACGGCGGAAAAAGUAAUCUUCACUGCUUCUUCCGGAAUCUGAUUAAUUUUACAGUCUUGUAAUCGGUUGUAUCUGAUGGUGUAGGACGCGCUCGUGUUGUUUGAAUCGGUUUUUUGGAUAUUUGUAGGAGAAUCUUUCUUGCUAAGCAGAGAUAAAACAAACUGAUGUCAAAACCUACAACUUUUCAGCUUUUGGGGUUUAUAAAGUAAAAUUUGCGCCAUGGGUAUGUGAAAAAUAGAUUUUGAAAUUCUGGUUAAUUGGUGAAAAAUAGAUAUUGAAAUUCUCGUUAAUUAAUAAUCAAAUGGAGGAGAGGGUUUGUUAUAAAUUCAAACUUCUCUCUCCCCCCCCUCUCCACUCCCCCCUAACAAACACUAUCACCA